UGCGUAGGUGGUGAGGUAAGUCGGAUGUGAAAUCUCCAGGCUCAACCUGGAAAUGGCAUCGGAAACUGCCUUGCUCGAGGUUUGGAGGGGGGACUGGAAUUCUUGGUGUAGCAGUGAAAUGCGUAGAUAUCAAGAGGAACACCAGUGGCGAAGGCGAGUCCCUGGACAACACCUGACACUGAGGCACGAAAGCUAGGGAGCAAACA
This 206-nucleotide ribosomal RNA is filed under the name uncultured bacterium. Its description in RNAcentral is "partial 16S ribosomal RNA". It matches the Rfam family "Bacterial small subunit ribosomal RNA", at positions 568 to 774 of the family's 1533-position model. The record is from RNAcentral.